RNAcentral lists this ribosomal RNA (408 nucleotides) under uncultured bacterium. RNAcentral describes it as "partial 16S ribosomal RNA". It matches the Rfam family "Bacterial small subunit ribosomal RNA", at positions 28 to 526 of the family's 1533-position model. The record is from RNAcentral.
GACGAACGCUGGCGGCGUGCUUAACACAUGCAAGUCGAACGAAGUGGCGAAAGGGUGAGUAACGCGUAAUCAACCUGCCCUUCAGAGGGGGACAACAGUUGGAAACGACUGCUAAUACAGCAUACUGAAGGAGGGGAUUGCGUCUGAUUAGAUAGUUGGAGGGGUAACGGCCCGACAAGGCGAUGAACAGUAGCCGGUCGGGGAGGAUGAACGGCCACAUUUGGACUUAGACACGGCCCAGACUCCUACGGGAGGCAGCAGGUGGGAAUCUUCCGAAAUGGACGAAAGUCUGACUGAGCAACGCCGCGUGAGUGAUGACGGUCUUCGGGUUGUAAAGCUCUGUUAAUCGGGACGCGGUACCGGAAUAGAAAGCCACGGCUAACUACGUGCCAGCAGCCGCGGUAAUAC